CACCAUGCCCGGCUAAUUUUUUGUAUUUAGUAGAGACGGGCUUUCACCAUGUUGGUCAGGAUGGUCUUGAUCUCCUGACCUCGUGAUUAGCCCGCCUUGGCCUCCCAAAGUGCUAGAAUUAUAGGCGUGAACCACCACACCUGGCCUUGAUCUAUUAAUAUGUCCUAGGAGCUACAGAAUUAUAUUCAUGAACUUUAAAUGACUUCAGUCAAGUCACUUUUCUAAGUCUCAUUUCUCAUCUGUAUAAUGUGAGUGAGAGGUGAGGGGUGGGUAGGGGAUAUUGAGUAGGUGGCUACCUGUGAUCUCUACAUUGGGUAGAGGGCUGUGUUCACUAGAGUUCCAGAUUUUCUGUGAUUCUAAGAAGCCUUUGGAAUCUUGGAGUGAGUAUUCCCAGGGAACUCUGAUGUACUGAAAAGCUCUCCUACAUUGUUGAUGUCAGCUGUGCCUGAGGCUUUUUAAUGGGUCAACAGACUCCAAAGGGAACUCCACCCUCCCCUUUUCCCACUGGGGUAGGUGAGGCUGGAUCAGAACAGGGUAAUUGAGUUCUCCCUGUGGAGUUUGGGGUCAUGUGAGCACAGCUCCUUGAUCUCAUCUCAGAUGGCUCCAGGGAAGUACCCAAAAUCUCUCCUUUGGGAGGUAGGAGAGAAUGACUCAGGAAAAGGGAAGUCAAAAGGAAGUUUAUGAAGUGUGAGAAUGGGAUUGUUAAAUAAAUCCAAGUCUGGAUACUCCUGGAGGGAGGUGGUAUGGGGUACAACACUGGGCUGGAACCCAGAAGACCCUAUGUAUGUGUCGGCCAUAACUUGCCAGGAGACUCGGGAAGUACCUUCACCACUGGGAUUCAGUUGCUUCAUCUUUGAAAAGAGGGGGUUGGCUUAACUGAUCUGUAAGUAUCUUCUAGAUAGGAUAUGAGGUUGGUGCAAAAUUAAUUGUGGUUUUUGCCAUUGAAAGUAAAGUAAUAGCAAAAUCCACAAUUACUUUUGAACCAACCUCAUAUUUUUAGGAUUCUAGAUGCCUGUGACUGAGUGGACUACUUCUGAGUCUCGGUUUUUACUUCUGUAAAGAGACAAUAACAAGAGUAACUUCGUCAUAGAAUUAUUGUGAGAAUUAAAUGAGCUUAACAUGGCAUUUCUACUUUAUUCAUUCAGUGCUCUCAUUUAAUGAUUACUCAUUAGACUUCUACUUUAAACCAGACUCUAUGCUAGGAGAGGAUGGAUAAUUCAUACAGUUGAACUAGGUAUUUUAGAUGAACCUUCACAGAGGUGAAGAUACCUUCACAGAGCUAGGAGUCUUGUGGGGCACACAGUGAACGUUUAAAAAUGGAAGCUAUUUUUAUGAGGCAUUUCUGUUAUUGAAUAGUCAGAUCAAAUACCACUGUCUAAAUAAUGGCAAAUGGCAGGGGAAAAUAUUCCAUGGCAUGGUGACAUUCUCAAGAGAAGCUAUCCUCUGUCCCUGGUCUAAAUUAAAGAUGACACGUUCAAAUAUCUUCAGAGCAAAGCAGAUAAUAUAAGUUAAUACAGUGGGUUGGAUGUCAGAAAAUCUAAAAGAGGGGAUUAAGACGAACUAGAGUUUGCAUGCAUUCUCUAAAGUGGAAAGAUGCUAGUCAACUCUCCUGCCUACUGCUGUCACGUGAGAAUGUGAGUCUAAAGUUGCCAGAACUCACUAUUUUCCAGCAGAAGCCAGGAAUCCAGAUUUUCACAUAAAAAGCAUCCAGAUUUCAAGUGAUAGCCACUUAUUCAAAUAUUUAAAAACAUUAUGUAGCCACUGGUUUGCUAUCUCUAAGUUAAAGCCAAUAUUUCAGAUAAGCAAGAGUAUUGUAAUUGUGUUCAUUUUCAAAAAGGAAGGUGAGGGGAAAGUAAAGGGGAUGAAUGAUUAUUGGCUAUCAUCUACGUGCCCCAGGCAUCUUACAGAUAACAUAUAUCAUUUCAUCUGUUGCUCACAACAAUUCUAAGAAGCACCUGUGUUUAGUUCUGAUAUUUUUCCCUGAUGCAAUUCACAUAUGGAAAAUGUGUUUUGAGAAACACUGGUAUGGACAGAUAUGAGUGGCAGCAUAAGGAAGAUUGAAUAUAGGGGCAAGAUAAGAGGCAGGACAGCCUGGUGAAGAAGUCAUAGUGGAAAUACACAAGGUGCCCCUAGUGGGGAGAAAAACAAGGACAGAUUCGAGACAAAAUGAAGAAGUAAUUAAUCUAUAUUUUUCAAAGUUCAUCAAUAAUGUCUGAGAGGGGAAUUUUACCUCCCUUCCACCUCCCCAUGUCAGAUGGAGGAGGAAGGGACUUUACAACUGUACCCCUUUUCUUAUUUUCUCUCUUCGCCCUCAGGCUAUUUAAUGGCUGUGUUCAGACCAAAGUCAGCCAUCCCUCCAAGUGGACAACAGAAACUAAACCCUAGUCCUAUAGCCUGGAUCUCCUAGUCUACACCUCGAUGCCACACAGAAUAAUUUCUCAGAGCAAUGAACUUCUAUAUUAAAGAUUACUCUGGUCAGGCAUGGUGGCUAAUGCCUGUAAUCUCAGUACUUUGGGAGGUCAAGGUGGGUGGAUCACUUGAGUCCAGGAGUUUGGGACCAGCCUGGGCAACAUGACAAAAGCCCAUCUCUACCAAAAAAUACAAAAGCUAGCCAAGAGUGGUGAUGCAUGCUUGUAGUCCCAGCUACUUAGGAGGAUAAGGUGGAAGGAUUGAUUGAGCCCGGGAGAUAGAGGCUGCAGCGAGGUGUGAUUGGGCCCCUGCACUCCAGCCUGGGCAACAGAGUGAGACCCUGUCUCAAAAAAAAAAAAAAAAAAAAAAAAAAAAAAGGAAAGAAAGAAAAAGAAAAAGACUACUCAGCCAUUCUUCCUGAUCCCCUGAUCCACGGGCUUCUUGCCUCUGGCUGUCAUUACACUGGCAAUGAGCAAUAAAGAAAUGUAGAUUAAAUGGUCAGUAGAUGUAAAUUCAAUUCUUAGCUCCACACUUAUAAGAAGUUUGACCUUCAACUAUCAACUUCAAAAGACUUAUCCUCAACUCCCUCAUCUGUAGAUGUAGAUAAUAUUGUCCUCCUACUUGGAAGGACUAAUUUGUAGAUAAAAUAAGAUAAUGGAUUUGAAGGUCCUUCAAUCCAUACUUCAUAGAGCAGCCAGGGUGAUAAAACUUUUACUCUUUACCGUGACUUAAACCACUCUAUAAUUUCACCCCUCCUAUAGUCCCUUCUUUUUAAAUUCCAUACUCAGAAUUUAAACUGCAGCCCCACUGUCCUUUUAUUCCUUAAGGCCACUGUGCGUGCUGUUUCCUCUACCUGAACCGCUUUCGAUCCCACCCGCCCCUCAAUCUUCACUUCAUUUCACUACUUCCUGUUCGCACUUCAGGUAUAUUGAGUGCUUACUAUGUGCCUGGCAAUGUACUAGGCACUGGGGAUAGGGUGAUUAAAAAAAGAUAAACAUAACAACACUUCAGAGAAGCUAAUAUUUUAGUGAGAAAGGCAAAUGCUACAUCCCUGCCUUCACCAACCAAAAUAUAUUGAGAAUUGUAAUAAGUGCUACCAAGCUAGGAAUAGUAUAGAAUGCUAAAAGUUCAUAUAGUCAAUGAGAGGGCCAAAUCUAAUCUAAGGAUUCAGAUAAGUGACAUUUAAACUGAGACCUGAGUGUACAGACCCAAGUGGGAAAGAAAAUCUGUAGCAUCAAUACUAGAGAGAAGAAGGAGGUAAGUGCAAUUGUUCAAACCUUGUAUGAUGUGUCAAAAAGUUUUCAUUUGGAAGUUAGAAGAGUUAUGAAAGUUCUUAAAAGGUUUAAAUUAGAAGAAUCAUAGUUAUAAAUAAGAUACCUAUUCAUCAAAUAUUUAUUGAGUGUCCAUGGUAUGCCAGCUACUGUGCUAGAUAUGAUCAAAUGUAUAUUUUAACAGGUAACUCUGGCUUUAGAGUUGAGAAGUGAAAGGGAGGGAAAAGUGGCUAAUGAGAGGACUGUUUAAAAGACGAUCGCAGAAGAUGUUGAGUGGCUUAGAUUAGGCAAUGGAAAUAAAAAGGAGCCAAUUUAAGAGAUAAUGGGGAUCAAAGCAAAAUAGCCUGGUUAUAAAUUGAACACGAAGGUGAACAAGAGAAAAGAGUUAAAGAUAACUGCUUUAAGAAACUUAGUUUAUAAAGGCACCAGCUAUAUAGAGUAAAUGAGCAAUUGGAAAGGAGCAAACUUGUAGGGAGAUGAUAGCAAAUCCAGUUUUGAAUGUGUUGAGUUUGAAUUGCUUGUGAGAUAUCAAAUUACAGAUGCUUAUAGUCAGUUGAAUAUAAUUAGGGGGUUCCGAAGAAUGAGGUGGAGACCCAAAUGUAAAAGCAAUGACUACACUGAUUGUCAUGAUUGGACUAGAUGUGGUAACCCAGAGAGAGAUUAAAUUGAGAAAAGAAUACACAGGACCAAGACAUAAGGAGCUUCGAGAUAAAGAACAGGUAAAUGGACCCUGUAAGAGAGGGUAAGUUGGUGUUAGAGAGUUAGAUACCAAACCAGGAAGGUAUAGUACUGAAGAAACCAAGGAUAGCAAAUGUUUCAGACCCUGUAGAAUGCAUAGAGAUAUGAAGUAAGUUUAUGACCCAAAAAUGUCAUUGGAUUUAAUGACAGAGUUCACAAAUGUUCAUGGAGAAAAAUGUUUUAGUAACUUGGUGGUAGCAGAAGACAGAGGGGAGUAAGCUGAGGAAUGAAAAGAUGAAGUGAACCAUUGUAGGCUAUACUUUAAAAGGUGCGUUUAUAAAGAAAAGGAAAGAGAUCAUUUUGAUGCUGGAAGAUGCAAUGUUUUGUUUGUGUCUUUGUUCUAAGAAGAAAAAUUUAUAAGCAUAUAAAUGAUGUAAAUAAUCUACUAGAGAAGGAGAGAUAUAAAAUAUAGGAUAUAAGGAGAGAGAUUAUAUGUAGAUUCCUAAUAAUUUAGGAAGGCAUAAGAAAUACUGCAAUGAAAAGAUUAACUUUAGAAAGAAAGGAGGACAUCUCCUAUAUUAUAUCAGGAGGAAAUGGGGAGAGUGUGCAUGAAAGAUGUUAAAUUGUUUGGAGAAAAAUUACACUACUCCAUUAUUGUUCUUAAUGAAUAAAGGGAAAAUAGGGUAUUAUGGGUUUAAGAAUGAUGAAGGCUGAGUGUGGUGGCUCACACUUGUAAUUCCCAGCACUUUGGGAGGCCAAGGCAGGCAGAUUACUUGAGCUCAGGAGUUCGAGACCAGUCUGGGCAACAUGAUGAACCCCUGUCUCUACCAGAAAAAAACAAAAAAUGAGCUGGGCAUGGUGGCAUGCACCUAUAGUCCCAGCUACUCAGAAGGCUGAGGAAGAAAGAUUGCUUGAGCCAGGCAGGCAGAGGUUACGGUAAGCCGAGAUCACACCAGUGCACUCCAGCCUGGGUGAUAGAGCGAGACCUCCAUCUCAAAGAAUGAUGAAGAAGAAUGUAAGUUGACAGGAGAAACCUAGUAAAAUUGAAUGGAAGCAUGAAGAGCCCAGUUAACAUUGAUGACUGAUGAUACAUUGAUGACAAUAUUCAAAACUGUGUUUUUCUGUAGCUGCGUGACUGUACCAUCACAGAAGAUGGAGAGUUGCAUGCAUCCAGUGCAGGUGUUUGACUAAGUAGGGAAAUUAAAAGACCGAAAGCCAAGGGAGAUCGAGAGGCUGAUACAAGCAGUGAUUGAAAUAUGAACCAUGGACUCUAUCACAGACAGAAAAGUUGGAACUGAUAGAUGGAGAAAAAGGAAUGCUACCAAGCAACAGAAAGUCCUAAUGAGUUAAAAGGCAUGGCUGGAGUGGGAGAUCUAUAAACUGACAGUAUAAAAGAUCAUAGUCAAAGAGUGGGAUGUUAGAACUGAAGGUUUUUUAUGGAACAAUAUCAUGUGAGAACAAAGUCUACAGUGUGGCCCAGGAGUGGGUGGCUGAGGCAGAAUAGAGAAAUGGUCACUGGAGAUGAGCAGAUCAAGGAAGUGAGAGACUGGAUUGUUGGACAGAAAAUCCACAAAAACCCUGACCUUACCUAUUGUGAUGGCAAGAACCCAAACGAAGAGAAAGCUCCAAACCAGGAACUUAAAAUACUUAAAGAACCAGUUUCAGUUGAGGCAAGAGGAUGAAGGUUGGAUUCAGCUUGACUUCCCCUUUUGGGGAAUAACAAUGUCAUAGACACAAGAUCCAGAAGGGUCCUGAGACACGAAGCUGGUCCUCACAACUCUGCAUAGACUAGGAGGCCCAAAGAACAGAAACAUUCACUACACAAAGUUGCCUGCAUUUGGUCCUGGGUUCAAGCCACCAACUUCUGUCAUUUUAUUAGAAAAGAAGCAUAACAACAGCAUUUACUGAGAGGGUGUUGGAGCCAAAAAGUAGAAAUGAAACAAACAAGCUUUUCUGGCAGAGAGAAAGGAUCUGCUGGAAGGUCAGACAACCACAAGACCAGAAUUACACAUGACUCUUCUGAGGGCAGCAUGAACAGAAAAUGCUCACAGGAUUGGAAGUCAGAAAACCUGAGGGCUAGAAAGAACCAUUCAGAUCUACAGAGUAUUUUACAGCCUUCAAAACACUAAAAGUCUCCUAAUUUUUCUACAGACAUCUGUGGGGAAAGUUACCACCACCCAUUUCCCAGAUGAGAAAACUGAGCCUUGGAAAAAUAAAAAAUAUUUCCAAGGGUUGAAGUCACGUCUUACUUCAAAUUCAGCCUUGGUUAUGUGACCUGAAAAAACUCAGUCCUCAGCUCUGUUCUUAGUUUUACUAUCUGUAAAAUAAAGAGGUUGAUUUGUAAAACAAACAGGAUAUGAUUUUAAUAGCCCUAUCUGCUCAUAAAUGCUAUGUCAUUGUGUGCCACUGGUAUGGAGUGCAAGAUAUGUAUAUCUUUCUCCUCCCAGUAUUAAAUUUAAGGAGUAAAACUGGCAUUGUCUCUGAAUGGGAAACGAAUUUCAGGUCACAGCAUGCCUCUUCCAACCUCAAAAGAUUUGCUUUAU
This is a long non-coding RNA of Symphalangus syndactylus (siamang), 6901 nucleotides long. RefSeq lists it as uncharacterized. The record is from RefSeq and is a predicted model, not a curated record. NCBI's taxonomy places the organism in Eukaryota, Metazoa, Chordata, Mammalia, Primates, Hylobatidae.